RNAcentral lists this ribosomal RNA (253 nucleotides) under uncultured bacterium. Its description in RNAcentral is "partial 16S ribosomal RNA". It matches the Rfam family "Bacterial small subunit ribosomal RNA", at positions 524 to 776 of the family's 1533-position model. The record is from RNAcentral.
UACAGAGGGUGCAAGCGUUAAUCGGAAUUACUGGGCGUAAAGCGUGCGUAGACGGUUACAUAAGUCGGGUGUGAAAGCCCCGGGCUCAACCUGGGAACUGCAUCUGUGACUGCAUCGCUGGAGUGCGGCAGAGGGGAUGGAAUUCCGCGUGUAGCAGUGAAAUGCGUAGAUAUGCGGAGGAACACCGAUGGCGAAGGCAAUCCCCUGGGCCUGCACUGACGCUCAUGCACGAAAGCGGUGGGGAGCAAACAGG